This 1592-nucleotide ribosomal RNA is filed under the name Candida gigantensis. RNAcentral's name for it is "small subunit ribosomal RNA". It matches the Rfam family "Bacterial small subunit ribosomal RNA". The record is from RNAcentral. Lineage: Eukaryota; Fungi; Ascomycota; Pichiomycetes; Serinales; Debaryomycetaceae.
ACAGUCAUGAGUAUGACGUAGGUUCAGACCCAAUGCCCUCUAGUGACCUUACACAUGCAAGUAGACCUAUCGGUCUGCGUUCAGGUGAGUAGCACGGGCUUAUCGCCCCUUUAGAUGCAGGUAAUAGGGAACCGUUCCUCCCUUGUCGUGAGGACCAAGUGGUCUUCACCUGGAGGUUCGCACUUAGCCUUAGACCUACACUCCACUAUGGGAGUAGUAAGGAGCACAUGGUACGUCCAGUACCACUACUUCAUAGUAGCAGCAGUGGGGAAUCCUCGACAAUGGCCUAACGGCUGAUCGGGUUAACUAGAAGAGGGCGUCAAGCAUAGCCUGAUAUGCCAGACACAGCCCCUCAACGACGAGAACCAACCUUGAUGGUCUCAAUGGCAGUCCUUACCAAGCGGUGUGCCAGCAGUAGCGGUCACACACCCAGGGCAAGCAUUGGUCCCCAUUGGUCUAAAGCAUCCGUAGGCUUAACAGUCGAGAUGGGUGACUAGACCCUCUCGAAUCGAGUCCCUUCGUAGUGACCUGUAGCAGGCAUAGAGGGUUCAAAUACCAUCACAUGCCUCCGACAGCACAGUAGUCGCUAUGAUCGGACUGACGCUCAGGGAUGACAGCUGCAGUAGCGAAGCGGAUUCGGUACCCGCCUAGUUGCAGCCAUCAACCAUGCCUUCCGUGUAAUCCCACUCAAGUGGGAUUGGACAAGUCAACACCACGAGUAGGCCACCAGCUUAGUACGCUCUCACGAGUGAAACCCAAUACGUUAGACGGUCGUGCACAGGAACAGUGGAUCAUGCCGUCUAAUCGGACGAUACCCCUUCCACCUUACUACGCCUCGAAUGCGCCACUGUAGAGUCAGAAUUGACCUCUCCGUAGCUUCACUACGAGCAGUAGCCACAGGCGUUACAUCGUUGUCGUCAGUUCAUGCUUAGUAGUCGCCUAUUGAGUUAGCUAAUGAACGCAACCCAUGACUAGAGACCCGGUCCUUAGAUCUGACUAUAGAGAGAGAGCAGUAGGCAAGGAACCAAGCUGCCGUCUCAUGACUAGAACGAAGGAGAGAUCGAGAUACCCAUGGUGGUGCCAUCCUAGCACCUAGCGCUUUGACCCAUUAGUGGUGCUAUCUUAGUACCUAGUGGUGAGCACAUGGCUCCUCUUGGUCUCAACCAGAUCCGAUAGUGAUCCAUCGUAGCGAUGCGAUGGGAACGUGGAUGAAGACUAAUCAUCAUGACCCUUAUGGCGUAGGCCACAGGUGUGAUACCAGCCCAUGGUCAGUUAAAGCGGCUAGACCACCUAGUCGCGAAUGACACCCAUGGCUCCAAGAGUCAGCUAUGACUCCUUAAUUGGACUAGCCUCUGCAACCCGAGGCUACGAAACCGGAACUGUCAGUAAUCAGGUAGUAGUGAGACCUGGUGAACUCAACCCUGCACUUCGCACUCAUCACUCAUCAACGGCAGGGAUACGCCAGUCGCUAGUGUUUCCCUUGACUAGUCAAGUAGUGCCUGAUUAGCAAGGGCCAAGCAGACGGCUCAAGGACCUGUGGUAAGUUGAAAUACAGUUCGGGUAGGGGAACCUGCCCGGGUACGUAGACCACC